UUUUUUUUUUUUUUUUUUUUUUUUUUUUUUACUUCGGAAGUUAUAUUCACGGACCUCAACCUCAGAGGAACUUCAUACAAAAAGUAGCGCAA
RNAcentral lists this non-coding RNA (92 nucleotides) under Favella ehrenbergii. Lineage: Eukaryota; Ciliophora; Spirotrichea; Tintinnida; Xystonellidae. The record is from RNAcentral.